Molecule: ribosomal RNA, 253 nt
Filed under: uncultured bacterium
Lineage: Bacteria
Description: partial 16S ribosomal RNA
Rfam family: Bacterial small subunit ribosomal RNA
Source: RNAcentral
UACGGGGGGGGCAAGCGUUGUUCGGAAUUACUGGGCGUAAAGGGCUCGUAGGCGGCCAACUAAGUCGGACGUGAAAUCCCUCGGCUCAACCGGGGAACUGCGUCCGAUACUGGAUGGCUUGAGUUCGGGAGAGGGAUGCGGAAUUCCUGGUGUAGCGGUGAAAUGCGCAGAUAUCAGGAGGAACACCGGUGGCGAAGGCGGGACUCUGGGCCGAUACUGACGCUGAGGAGCGAAAGCGUGGGGAGCAAACAGG